AUUUAAGUAGUUUAUAAAAAACAUUUCAUUUUCAGUGAAAAGAAAAUAAUAAUUCUUAAAUA
This 62-nucleotide transfer RNA is filed under the name Cimex lectularius (bed bug). RNAcentral describes it as "tRNA-Glu". Lineage: Eukaryota; Metazoa; Arthropoda; Insecta; Hemiptera; Cimicidae. The record is from RNAcentral.